RNAcentral lists this ribosomal RNA (586 nucleotides) under uncultured bacterium. RNAcentral describes it as "bacterial SSU rRNA". It matches the Rfam family "Bacterial small subunit ribosomal RNA", at positions 338 to 916 of the family's 1533-position model. The record is from RNAcentral.
CCUCCGGGAGGCAGCAGUGGGGAAUAUUGGACAAUGGGGCCAACCCUGAUCCAGCGACGCCGCGUGUGUGAAGAAGGCCUGCGGGUUGUAAAGCACUUUUAGUGGGGAGGAAGGUCUGCGACCUAACACGUCGUGGAAUUGACUUAACCCACAGAAAAAGCACCGGCUAACUCUGUGCCAGCAGCCGCGGUAAUACAGAGGGUGCAAGCGUUAAUCGGAAUUACUGGGCGUAAAGCGUGCGUAGGCGGUUUCGUAAGUCGGAUGUGAAAGCCCCGGGCUCAACCUGGGAAUUGCAUUCGAGACUGCGAAGCUGGAGUGCGGAAGAGGGAAGUGGAAUUUCCGGUGUAGCGGUGAAAUGCGUAGAUAUCGGAAGGAACAUCAGUGGCGAAAGCGACUUCCUGGUCCAGCACUGACGCUCAGGCACGAAAGCGUGGGGAGCAAACAGGAUUAGAUACCCUGGUAGUCCACGCCAUAAACGAUGAGAACUAGAUUUUGAGAGGGUAAGCCUCCCAGUGUCGUAGCUAACGCGAUAAGUUCUCCGCCUGGGGACUACGGCCGCAAGGUUGAAACUCAAAUGAAUUGACGG